This 449-nucleotide ribosomal RNA is filed under the name uncultured bacterium. RNAcentral's name for it is "partial 16S ribosomal RNA". It matches the Rfam family "Bacterial small subunit ribosomal RNA", at positions 28 to 523 of the family's 1533-position model. The record is from RNAcentral.
GACGAACGCUGGCGGCAGGCCUAACACAUGCAAGUCGAACGGAUCCUUCGGGAUUAGUGGCGGACGGGUGAGUAACACGUGGGAACGUGCCCUUUGGUUCGGAACAACUCAGGGAAACUUGAGCUAAUACCGGAUGUGCCCUUCGGGGGAAAGAUUUAUCGCCAUUGGAGCGGCCCGCGUCUGAUUAGCUAGUUGGUGAGGUAAAGGCUCACCAAGGCGACGAUCAGUAGCUGGUCUGAGAGGAUGAUCAGCCACAUUGGGACUGAGACACGGCCCAAACUCCUACGGGAGGCAGCAGUGGGGAAUCUUGCGCAAUGGGCGAAAGCCUGACGCAGCCAUGCCGCGUGAAUGAUGAAGGUCUUAGGAUUGUAAAAUUCUUUCACCGGGGACGAUAAUGACGGUACCCGGAGAAGAAGCCCCGGCUAACUUCGUGCCAGCCGCCGCGGUAA